GCUAGUAAUCGCGGAUCAGAAUGCCGCGGUGAAUACGUUCCCGGGCCUUGUACACACCGCCCGUCACACCAUGAGAGUUGGGAAUACCCGAAGCCUGUGAGCUAACAUUUAUGAGGCAGCAGUCGAAGGUAGAAUCAAUGAUUGGGGUGAAGUCGUAACAAGGUACC
RNAcentral lists this ribosomal RNA (167 nucleotides) under uncultured bacterium. RNAcentral describes it as "partial 16S ribosomal RNA". It matches the Rfam family "Bacterial small subunit ribosomal RNA", at positions 1334 to 1500 of the family's 1533-position model. The record is from RNAcentral.